Molecule: ribosomal RNA, 288 nt
Filed under: Triticum aestivum (bread wheat)
Lineage: Eukaryota; Viridiplantae; Streptophyta; Magnoliopsida; Poales; Poaceae
Description: partial small subunit ribosomal RNA
Source: RNAcentral
AUGGCAUCGACCAGCAGCAAGGGGAAGGGGAAGCUCGAGGAUCUGAUGGAGGAACUCGCCCUAAAAGAAGAUGACUUAGAUGAUGUCGUUUUUGAGGAGGACGAUGCGCCACCGGCGGAGGAUCUUCGGUGGAUGAUCUUGGUUUGUGUCCACAUCGACAAAGACUUCAGUAGUUACUAGUUUUUUCGCAACAUGCGAUCUGCGUGGGAUCUUGCAAGAAGGGUCAAGAUAAAAACCCUAGAAGAGAACUUGUUCAUUAUGCAGUUUGAGUGCUUAGGGGACUGGGAA